GACCUCAAAUCGGGUGAGACUACCCGCUGAACUUAAGCAUAUCAAUAAGCGGAGGAAAAGAAACUAACAAGGAUUCCCCUAGUAACUGCGAGUGAAGCGGGAAAAGCUCAAAUUUAAAAUCUGGUGGCCUUUGUCCAUCCGAGUUGUAAUUUAGAGAAGCGUCUUCCGCGCUGGACCGUGCACAAGUCUCCUGGAAUGGAGCGUCAUAGAGGGUGAGAAUCCCGUCUUUGGCACGGACACACCAGGGCUUUUGUGAUGCGCUCUCAAAGAGUCGAGUUGUUUGGGAAUGCAGCUCAAAAUGGGUGGUGAACUCCAUCUAAAGCUAAAUAUUGGCGAGAGACCGAUAGCGAACAAGUACCGUGAGGGAAAGAUGAAAAGCACUCUGGAAAGAGAGUGAAACAGUACGUGAAAUUGUUGAAAGGGAAACGCUUGAAGUCAG
RNAcentral lists this ribosomal RNA (439 nucleotides) under uncultured fungus. Its description in RNAcentral is "eukaryotic LSU rRNA". It matches the Rfam family "Eukaryotic large subunit ribosomal RNA", at positions 1 to 432 of the family's 3401-position model. Lineage: Eukaryota; Fungi. The record is from RNAcentral.